This is an RNA transcript of Nilaparvata lugens (brown planthopper), 1497 nucleotides long. RefSeq lists it as uncharacterized. The transcript has 4 exons. NCBI's taxonomy places the organism in Eukaryota, Metazoa, Arthropoda, Insecta, Hemiptera, Delphacidae. The record is from RefSeq and is a predicted model, not a curated record.
GCUAGUUGGCGGGGAUCAGGAAGUAUUGCCUCUAGCCUUUGCUAGUUGGCGGGGUCAAGCCUCUAGCCUUUGCUAGUUGGCGGGGAUUAAGAAGUGUAGCCUCUAGCCUUUGCUAGUUGGCGGGGAGAAAAGAAAUCAAUGCUAUCUUGUGAUAGCUUGGGGUUAAAUUUAUUUCUAACCUAUUUUUAAGUCUUAACUUGCAUGCAAUUUACAUUAUAGGUGUUACUAUCCUAUCGGUAGAGGAAGUGCACAAGUUAUUUUGCAUCAAAGAGGGUGUAUCACCCUUGGAGAUGCUGGGAAGUGGAGAUAUUCUUGAGAAAUUCAAGAGUUCUCCACUACUCUACUCUACUGAGUAUCUUUGAGAGUGAGAAACUCUCAUAGAUACUGUAGAGUACAAUAUUCUCUCCUGGCCGUCCAGGUAAUGCCUUAGUUAAGUGAUAACUUCAAUCUAUGAUUGGCAACUAUUUAUCAUUAUUUUAUUGAUACUUUGAAAUUAGAGAUAUUCUUGAGCAAUUCAAGGGUUCUCUAAUCAGUAUCAUUGAGAGCAAGAAACUCUUAUUGAUACAGAAUUGUAGUGAUACUGUAGGUUCAGGUACUGCCUUAGUUUAGUCCAAGUUAAGAUUUGUAACUGUUUAUCUACAUGUUAUAAAAUUGCUUUGUUUUGAAAGUGCGUUACAAGUUUGUUACAGCUUAGCCUACCAAUCGAAUCCAAGUGCACCAUUGUGGAUAUUUUUCGAAAGGAUCACUGUGCAUCUAAACAAACCAUUAAGGGCAGAUAUCAAUACUAUUUUCUGACCGCGGAGCAGCUCUACAUCACAAGUGAAGAUAUGGUUCGGUGAAUGUGUUUGUUACAGCUUAGCCUACCAAUCGAAUCCAAGUGCACCAUUGUGGAUAUUUUUCGAAAGGAUUAAUAUGAAUCUGAAGAAACAAACAAUUAUGGAGAAGCAUGUGGAUCAUCAUGAAGAUGCCACCAGCUACUCAAUGCAUUGGAGAGCAGCUCUACUACCAAAGUGGAGAUAUGGAUCAUUCAAUGUGGUAUGAGACAUCUGGUAUUUAUAUUAUUAGUUGAUUAGGAUAGAUUUCUAACCCUUCCCAAUAACACUGAUGGCUAGGGCUGGGAUGUUGUAUGAUCUUGUUAGGGUCCCUGUAGGAUAUUUACAGUGUCAGUUGAAUGUUUCAUUUCUGAUCAGUGCCCUUUGUGGUGGUCUCACGGCUUUUUCAUUAUGGUUGCGGGCUCAGUACAGCACUAAUUUGAUGAGCAGGUGGUACUGUUACACUGUGGCCAGGUCUGAUCUUUUCUAUGAGACUGGCGAUGCAAAUAUUUGAUUGUAGUGCCUUCAGCAAACUUAGGAAAGGGGGGAUGAGAAUUAUUUGAGUUAAGAAUUAGGAUUAAGAAAUUAGUGAUCUAAGUUUAGAUUAGAUACUGAAGUUAUAUUGGUAGAGUCUAGCCUCUAGCCUUUGCUAGUUGGCGGGGUUAAGCCUCUAGCCUUUGCUAGU